UGGGGAAUAUUGGACAAUGGGCGCAAGCCUGAUCCAGCCAUACCGCGUGGGUNAAGAAGGCCUUCGGUUGUAAAGCCCUUUGUUGGGAAGAAAUCCAGCUGGCUAAUACCCGGUUGGGAUGACGGUACCCAAAGAAUAAGCACCGGCUAACUUCGUGCCAC
RNAcentral lists this ribosomal RNA (161 nucleotides) under uncultured bacterium. RNAcentral's name for it is "partial 16S rRNA". It matches the Rfam family "Bacterial small subunit ribosomal RNA", at positions 355 to 511 of the family's 1533-position model. The record is from RNAcentral.